GACGAACGCUGGCGGCGUGCCUAACACAUGCAAGUCGAACGCACAGUUUAUACCGUUGCUUGCUACACCAUAGACGGUGAGUUGCGAACGGGUUAGUUACGCGUAGGUAACCUGUCUGGUAGCGUGGGAUAACUAUUGGAAACGAUAGCUAAUACCUCAUAAUAUUAAUUAUUGCAUGAUAAUUUAUUGAAAGGUGGGAUUGCACCGCUACCAGACGGACUUGCGUUGGAUUAGCUAGUAGGCGAGGUAAAGGCGCACCUAGGCGAGGAUACAUAGCCGAACUGCUAGGGUGGUCAGCCGCACUGGGACUGUGACACGGCCCAGACGCCUAGGGGAGGCAGCAAUAGGGAAUCUGCGGGCAGGGGCGGAAAUCUGACCAGGAAAGGCCGAGGGAGUGAAGAAGGAUGUCGGGUCGUAAAGCUCGGUUGUCAGGGAAGAAAGGGUGUGAGAGUGGAAAGUUCACAGUGUGACGGUAACUUAUCAGAAAGGGACGGCUAACUACGUG
RNAcentral lists this ribosomal RNA (505 nucleotides) under uncultured bacterium. RNAcentral's name for it is "partial 16S ribosomal RNA". It matches the Rfam family "Bacterial small subunit ribosomal RNA", at positions 28 to 507 of the family's 1533-position model. The record is from RNAcentral.